RNAcentral lists this ribosomal RNA (253 nucleotides) under uncultured bacterium. RNAcentral's name for it is "partial 16S ribosomal RNA". It matches the Rfam family "Bacterial small subunit ribosomal RNA", at positions 524 to 776 of the family's 1533-position model. The record is from RNAcentral.
UACGUAGGGUGCGAGCGUUAAUCGGAAUUACUGGGCGUAAAGCGUGCGCAGGCGGGCUUUUAAGCCAGACGUGAAAUCCCCGGGCUUAACCUGGGAAUGGCGUUUGGGACUGGAAGUCUGGAGUGCGGCAGAGGAGACUGGAAUUCCUGGUGUAGCAGUGAAAUGCGUAGAUAUCAGGAGGAAUACCGAUGGCGAAGGCAGGUCUCUGGGCUGACACUGACGCUCAUGCACGAAAGCGUGGGGAGCAAACAGG